This 253-nucleotide ribosomal RNA is filed under the name uncultured bacterium. RNAcentral's name for it is "partial 16S ribosomal RNA". It matches the Rfam family "Bacterial small subunit ribosomal RNA", at positions 524 to 776 of the family's 1533-position model. The record is from RNAcentral.
UACGGGGGAUCCAAGCGUUAUCCGGAUUUAUUGGGUUUAAAGGGUGCGUAGGCGGAUUGAUAAGUUAGAGGUGAAAUGUCCGAGCUUAACUCGGGAACUGCCUCUAAUACUGUUGAUCUAGAGAGUAGAUGCGGUAGGCGGAAUGCAUGGUGUAGCGGUGAAAUGCUUAGAGAUCAUACAGAACACCGAUUGCGAAGGCAGCUUACCAAUCUAUAUCUGACGUUGAGGCACGAAAGCGUGGGGAGCAAACAGG